This 487-nucleotide ribosomal RNA is filed under the name uncultured bacterium. Its description in RNAcentral is "bacterial SSU rRNA". It matches the Rfam family "Bacterial small subunit ribosomal RNA", at positions 29 to 526 of the family's 1533-position model. The record is from RNAcentral.
AAUGAACGUUGGCGGCGUGGAUUAGGCAUGCAAGUCGAGCGGUAAGGCUCCUUCGGGAGUACACGAGCGGCGAAAGGGAGAGUAACGCGUGGAUAUCUGCCCUCAGAACAUCAAUAGCUGCGGGAAACUGCAGGUAAUGGAUGAUAAUGUCUCCGGACCAAAGGUGUGAUUCCGUCUGAGGAUGAGUCCGCGUCCUAUUAGCUUGUUGGUGGGGUAAUGGCCUACCAAGGCGAAGAUGGGUAGCGGGUGUGAGAGCAUGGCCCGUCUCACCGGGACUGAGACACUGCCCAGACACCUACGGGUGGCUGCAGUCGAGAAUCUUCGGCAAUGGACGCAAGUCUGACCGAGCAACGCCGCGUGCGGGAUGAAGGCCUUCGGGUUGUAAACCGCUGUCAGUUGGGAGGAAAUCUAGGAGGGCUAUCCCUCCUAGUUGACCGAUCUUCAGAGGAAGGACGGGCUAAGUUCGUGCCAGCCGCCGCCGUAAAAC